This is a small nuclear RNA of Capra hircus (goat), 106 nucleotides long. NCBI's taxonomy places the organism in Eukaryota, Metazoa, Chordata, Mammalia, Artiodactyla, Bovidae. The record is from Ensembl.
GUGCUCACUUUGACAAUACAUAUGCUAAAAUUAGAAUGCUAUAGAGAAGAUUAGCAUGGUCCCUGCAUAAAAUGAUAGGCAAAUUAAUAAAAUGUUCCACAUUUAA